UCCUUCUCAACUCCCCUUCGCCCUCCUCCCCUGCAGACAUCCCCAGAGUCCAAUUGGGUGGGCGCGUGACGGCAGCCCAGGCUGGGGACCAGAGGCGGCUCUGGGUGGGCGGAGGCCAGUGUCCCAGCUCUCCCCUCCGCCCCCUCUCAGUGCUAUCCGUGACGUCAGAGCCGGACUGGGUAAACUGAGCAGGGCUCUGGGGCGCUGGGGCGGAGAAGGCGACCUGGAGCAGCGGGGACGCACGGACAGAGACCCAGGCUGUGUGGCGCUAUAACCGCGCAGACAGUCACAGGCGAGCCAGAGCAGAGCCAUGGCCCUGAGCGAUCUGGUGCUGCUGCGAUGGCUGCGGGACAGCCGCCACUCGCGCAAACUGAUCCUGUUCAUCGUGUUCCUUGCGCUGCUGCUGGACAACAUGCUGCUCACCGUCGUGGUUCCCAUCAUCCCCAGCUAUCUGUACAGCAUUAAGCAUGAGAAAAACUCUACGGAAAUCCAGACCACCAGACCAGAGCUCGUGGUCUCCACCUCCGAAAGCAUCUUCUCUUACUAUAACAACUCUACUGUGUUGAUCACCGGGAAUGCCACUGGGACUCUUCCAGGAGGGCAGUCACACAAGGCUACCAGCACACAGCAC
RNAcentral lists this long non-coding RNA (631 nucleotides) under Rattus norvegicus (Norway rat). RNAcentral describes it as "long non-coding RNA NONRATT001908". The record is from RNAcentral. Lineage: Eukaryota; Metazoa; Chordata; Mammalia; Rodentia; Muridae.